Molecule: ribosomal RNA, 870 nt
Filed under: uncultured bacterium
Lineage: Bacteria
Description: bacterial SSU rRNA
Rfam family: Bacterial small subunit ribosomal RNA
Source: RNAcentral
GAGUUUGAUCCUGGCUCAGAUUGAACGCUGGCGGCAUGCCUUACACAUGCAAGUCGAACGGCAGCACGGAGCUUGCUCUGGUGGCGAGUGGCGAACGGGUGAGUAAUAUAUCGGAACAUACCCUAGAGUGGGGGAUAACGCAGCGAAAGUUACGCUAAUACCGCAUACGAUCUAAGGAUGAAAGUGGGGGAUCGCAAGACCUCAUGCUCGUGGAGCGGCCGAUAUCUGAUUAGCUAGUUGGUAGGGUAAAAGCCUACCAAGGCAUCGAUCAGUAGCUGGUCUGAGAGGACGACCAGCCACACUGGAACUGAGACACGGUCCAGACUCCUACGGGAGGCAGCAGUGGGGAAUUUUGGACAAUGGGCGAAAGCCUGAUCCAGCAAUGCCGCGUGAGUGAAGAAGGCCUUCGGGUUGUAAAGCUCUUUUGUCAGGGAAGAAACGGUGAAAGCUAAUAUCUUUUGCUAAUGACGGUACCUGAAGAAUAAGCACCGGCUAACUACGUGCCAGCAGCCGCGGUAAUACGUAGGGUGCAAGCGUUAAUCGGAAUUACUGGGCGUAAAGCGUGCGCAGGCGGUUUUGUAAGUCUGAUGUGAAAUCCCCGGGCUCAACCAGGGAAUUGCAAUGGAGACUGCAAGGCUAGAAUCUGGCAGAGGGGGGUAGAAUUCCACGUGUAGCAGUGAAAUGCGUAGAUAUGUGGAGGAACACCGAUGGCGAAGGCAGCCCCCUGGGUCAAGAUUGACGCUCAUGCACGAAAGCGUGGGGAGCAAACAGGAUUAGAUACCCUGGUAGUCCACGCCCUAAACGAUGUCUACUAGUUGUCGGGUCUUAAUUGACUUGGUAACGCAGCUAACGCGUGAAGUAGACCGCCUG